GUGGGGAAUCUUCCGCAAUGGACGAAAGUCUGACGGAGCAACGCCGCGUGAGUGAAGAAGGUUUUCGGAUCGUAAAGCUCUUUCGUUAGGGACGAACGUGCUCUUUGUGAAUAAUGAGGAGUAAUGACGGUACCUAAAUAAGAAGCCACGGCUAACUACGUGCCAGCAGCCGCGGUAAUACGUAGGUGGCAAGCGUUGUCCGGAAUUAUUGGGCGUAAAGCGCGCGCAGGCGGGAUAUCAAGUCUGUCUUAAAAGUGCGAGGCUCAACCUCGUGAGGGGACAGAAACUGGUAUUCUUGAGUGUCGGAGAGGAAAGUGGAAUUCCAAGUGUAGCGGUGAAAUGCGUAGAGAUUUGGAAGAACACCAGUGGCGAAGGCGACUCUCUGGACGAUGUCUGACGCUGAGGCGCGAAAGCUAGGGGAGCGAACGGGAUUAGAAACCCGAGUAGUCC
Molecule: ribosomal RNA, 450 nt
Filed under: uncultured bacterium
Lineage: Bacteria
Description: partial 16S ribosomal RNA
Rfam family: Bacterial small subunit ribosomal RNA
Source: RNAcentral